RNAcentral lists this long non-coding RNA (519 nucleotides) under Felis catus (domestic cat). Its description in RNAcentral is "lncRNA (ENSFCAG00000053789.1)". Lineage: Eukaryota; Metazoa; Chordata; Mammalia; Carnivora; Felidae. The record is from RNAcentral.
AUGUGCUCGCUUUUUUUUCAGGUCACACCCUCUACCCAUUGGGCAUUUGAGCACAGAGUUACAGUGCACAUUCUCUUGGCAAGCCUCCAAUUGCGCUUUCUGGAACUUCUCUUUCCAACCAUUCAUACAGGCUUUUCCAGAUCACAGAUGAAAACCUCUUACUUCCUUUGUCACUCCCAUAGACUAAAGCUCCUUCUUUGUGAAGAUGACUCAAGGAGGGAGAGAAGAGGAGAAGCCACAGCCCAUCAACGUCUCUGGGCAUCACACCCCACUUGGCUGGGCGUUUCUGGUAGGCACAACCCUCUGGUAGCGGAAAGAGAUCGCUAGGCUAGGCUCGUACUCAGAAGUGAAGAGUGCAAAAUAACUAGAAAGAAGGUGAGUGAGUGCCACGGCUGGCUGUGAAUUCCAGUUUGUUGACUCCCUGAUCCUCAUCCCUCAGGAACAUCCCCUUCUCCUAAGGGGCAGGUGGUUAAGAUUGGAAAAUUUUAAUAAAUUAACAUUUUAACCCUCGCGUGGCCA